AUUAAGAUAGCUUGCUAUUUUUAUGAAGAGCGGCGAACGGGUGAGUAACGCGUGGGAAAUCUGCCGAGUAGCGGGGGACAACGUUUGGAAACGAACGCUAAUACCGCAUAACAAUGAGAAUCGCAUGAUUCUUAUUUAAAAGAAGCAAUUGCUUCACUACUUGAUGAUCCCGCGUUGUAUUAGCUAGUUGGUAGUGUAAAGGACUACCAAGGCGAUGAUACAUAGCCGACCUGAGAGGGUGAUCGGCCACACUGGGACUGAGACACGGCCCAGACUCCUACGGGAGGCAGCAGUAGGGAAUCUUCGGCAAUGGGGGCAACCCUGACCGAGCAACGCCGCGUGAGUGAAGAAGGUUUUCGGAUCGUAAAACUCUGUUGUUAGAGAAGAACGUUAAGUAGAGUGGAAAAUUACUUAAGUGACGGUAUCUAACCAGAAAGGGACGGCUAACUACGUGCCAGCAGCCGCGGUAAUACGUAGGUCCCAAGCGUUGUCCGGAUUUAUUGGGCGUAAAGCGAGCGCAGGUGGUUUCUUAAGUCUGAUGUAAAAGGCAGUGGCUCAACCAUUGUGUGCAUUGGAAACUGGGAGACUUGAGUGCAGGAGAGGAGAGUGGAAUUCCAUGUGUUAG
This 625-nucleotide ribosomal RNA is filed under the name Lactococcus garvieae. RNAcentral describes it as "bacterial SSU rRNA". It matches the Rfam family "Bacterial small subunit ribosomal RNA", at positions 69 to 679 of the family's 1533-position model. The record is from RNAcentral. Lineage: Bacteria; Bacillati; Bacillota; Bacilli; Lactobacillales; Streptococcaceae.